This 445-nucleotide ribosomal RNA is filed under the name uncultured bacterium. RNAcentral describes it as "bacterial SSU rRNA". It matches the Rfam family "Bacterial small subunit ribosomal RNA", at positions 354 to 796 of the family's 1533-position model. The record is from RNAcentral.
GUGAGGAAUAUUGCGCAAUGGAGGCAACUCUGACGCAGCCAUGCCGCGUGCAGGAAGAAGGCGCUACGCGUUGUAAACUGCUUUUAACCGGGAAGAAACCCCAGGACGUGUCCUGGGUUGACGGUACCGGAGGAAUAAGCACCGGCUAACUUCGUGCCAGCAGCCGCGGUAAUACGAAGGGUGCAAGCGUUAUCCGGAUUCAUUGGGUUUAAAGGGUGCGUAGGCGGAGCGUUAAGUCAGUGGUGAAAUCCUGCAGCUUAACUGUAGACUUAGCAUUGAUACUGGCGCUCUUGAGUGCGCUUGAAGUGGGCGGAAUGUGCCGUGUAGCGGUGAAAUGCUUAGAUAUGGCACAGAACACCAAUUGCGAAGGCAGCUCACUAAGGCGAUACUGACGCUGAGGCACGAAAGCGUGGGGAUCGAACAGGAUUAGAAACCCGAGUAGUCC